Molecule: ribosomal RNA, 114 nt
Filed under: uncultured bacterium
Lineage: Bacteria
Description: partial 16S ribosomal RNA
Rfam family: Bacterial small subunit ribosomal RNA
Source: RNAcentral
CCGGUGAAUACGUUCCCGGGCCUUGUACACACCGCCCGUCAAGCCAUGGAAGCUGGGGGUACCUGAAGUCGGUGACCGUAAGGAGCUGCCUAGGGUAAACUGGUAACUGGGGCU